This 761-nucleotide ribosomal RNA is filed under the name uncultured bacterium. RNAcentral describes it as "bacterial SSU rRNA". It matches the Rfam family "Bacterial small subunit ribosomal RNA", at positions 28 to 777 of the family's 1533-position model. The record is from RNAcentral.
GAUGAACGCUAGCUACAGGCUUAACACAUGCAAGUCGAGGGGCAGCAUUUCAGUUUGCUUGCAAACUGGAGAUGGCGACCGGCGCACGGGUGAGUAACACGUAUCCAACCUGCCGAUAACUCGGGGAUAGCCUUUCGAAAGAAAGAUUAAUACCCGAUGGUAUAAUCAGACCGCAUGGUCUUGUUAUUAAAGAAUUUCGGUUAUCGAUGGGGAUGCGUUCCAUUAGGCAGUUGGUGAGGUAACGGCUCACCAAACCUUCGAUGGAUAGGGGUUCUGAGAGGAAGGUCCCCCACAUUGGAACUGAGACACGGUCCAAACUCCUACGGGAGGCAGCAGUGAGGAAUAUUGGUCAAUGGGCGCAGGCCUGAACCAGCCAAGUAGCGUGAAGGAUGACUGCCCUAUGGGUUGUAAACUUCUUUUAUAUGGGAAUAAAGUUUUCCACGUGUGGAAUUUUGUAUGUACCAUAUGAAUAAGGAUCGGCUAACUCCGUGCCAGCAGCCGCGGUAAUACGGAGGAUCCGAGCGUUAUCCGGAUUUAUUGGGUUUAAAGGGAGCGUAGGUGGACAGUUAAGUCAGUUGUGAAAGUUUGCGGCUCAACCGUAAAAUUGCAGUUGAUACUGGCUGUCUUGAGUACAGUAGAGGUGGGCGGAAUUCGUGGUGUAGCGGUGAAAUGCUUAGAUAUCACGAAGAACUCCGAUUGCGAAGGCAGCUCACUGGACUGCAACUGACACUGAUGCUCGAAAGUGUGGGUAUCAAACCAGG